GAGUAGGGCGGGACACGUGGUAUCCUGUCUGAAUAUGGGGGGACCAUCCUCCAAGGCUAAAUACUCCUGACUGACCGAUAGUGAACCAGUACCGUGAGGGAAAGGCGAAAAGAACCCCGGCGAGGGGAGUGAAAAAGAACCUGAAACCGUGUACGUACAAGCAGUGGGAGCCUCUUUAUGGGGUGACUGCGUACCUUUUGUAUAAUGGGUCAGCGACUUAUAUUCUGUAGCAAGGUUAACCGUAUAGGGGAGCCGAAGGGAAACCGAGUCUUAACUGGGCGUUAAGUUGCAGGGUAUAGACCCGAAACCCGGUGAUCU
Molecule: ribosomal RNA, 318 nt
Filed under: Listeria monocytogenes
Lineage: Bacteria; Bacillati; Bacillota; Bacilli; Caryophanales; Listeriaceae
Description: partial 23S ribosomal RNA
Rfam family: Bacterial large subunit ribosomal RNA
Source: RNAcentral